GAAAUGCGAUACGUAAUGUGAAUUGCAGAAUUCAGUGAAUCAUCGAAUCUUUGAACGCACCUUGCGCUCCUUGGUAUUCCUUGGAGCAUGCCUGUUUGAGUAUCAUGAAAUCUUCAAAGUAAAUCUUUUGUUAACUCAAUUGGUUUCUACUUUGGUAUUGGAGGUCUUUGCAGCUUCACACCUGCUCCUCUUUGUUCAUUAGCUGGAUCUCACUGUUAUGCUUGGUUCCACUCGGCGUGAUAAGUUAUCUAUCGCUGAGGACACUGUAAAAGGUGGCCAAGGUAAAUGCAGAUGAACCGCUUCUAAUAGUCCAUUGACUUGGACAAUACUUUUAUGAUCUGAUCUCAAAUCAGGUAGGACUACCCGCUGAACUUAAGC
Molecule: unclassified non-coding RNA, 378 nt
Filed under: plant metagenome
Description: partial contains 5.8S ribosomal RNA, internal transcribed spacer 2, and large subunit ribosomal RNA
Rfam family: 5.8S ribosomal RNA (bases 1-105)
Source: RNAcentral